RNAcentral lists this ribosomal RNA (95 nucleotides) under Salmo salar (Atlantic salmon). The record is from RNAcentral. Lineage: Eukaryota; Metazoa; Chordata; Actinopteri; Salmoniformes; Salmonidae.
UAUUCUGGCCACACCACCCUAAACACGCCUGUUCAGGUUCGGGCCUGGUUAGUACUGGGACGGAGACUGCCUGGAAAUACCAGGUGCCGUAAUAA